GAAAGAUGGUUUCGGCUAUCGCUUACAGAUGGGCCCGCGGUGCAUUAGCUAGUUGGUAGGGUAAUGGCCUACCAAGGCAACGAUGCAUAGCCGACCUGAGAGGGUGAUCGGCCACACUGGGACUGAGACACGGCCCAGACUCCUACGGGAGGCAGCAGUAGGGAAUCUUCCGCAAUGGACGAAAGUCUGACGGAGCAACGCCGCGUGUAUGAAGAAGGUUUUCGGAUCGUAAAGUACUGUUGUUAGAGAAGAACAAGGAUAAGAGUAACUGCUUGUCCCUUGACGGUAUCUAACCAGAAAGCCACGGCUAACUACGUGCCAGCAGCCGCGGUAAUACGUAGGUGGCAAGCGUUGUCCGGAUUUAUUGGGCGUAAAGCGCGCGCAGGCGGUCUUUUAAGUCUGAUGUGAAAGCCCCCGGCUUAACCGGGGAGGGUCAUUGGAAACUGGAAGACUGGAGUGCAGAAGAGGAGAGUGGAAUUCCACGUGUAGCG
Molecule: ribosomal RNA, 491 nt
Filed under: Listeria monocytogenes
Lineage: Bacteria; Bacillati; Bacillota; Bacilli; Caryophanales; Listeriaceae
Description: bacterial SSU rRNA
Rfam family: Bacterial small subunit ribosomal RNA
Source: RNAcentral